CACACCAACAUUAAGAUUCUGUUCAGACAUACAGUCUCCUACAGCUCUAAAAAUUCAGUUCAUGACCCAGUUAUGGGAGGGAAAUGAAAGAUGUUGCAGUUUGCCCAACUCCACAGAGCAGGAAUGCAGCAGUAUUGAUACAGGCUCCUGGCUCUGAUCAGGCACCAUAUCAUGAGCAGUUAAUGUCAGGUCCAAAUCCUCAGCCGAAACAAGAGGAAGCCACUCUUUAAGGCCGGGAGGGUCUUUCAUCGCCCCGCGUGCACCGGUGCUCGUUCACAGCAAGCGCUGCCACCUGGUGGCACCUGGGAGAAUGGCAGCCCCGACUUCAGCGCCACGUCAGGGAACACUGAUACGAUUGCUCCUUUAAAGACCGUAGCAGCGGCAUGAAUUGAUACCCAGUGGAAUACAUAAUCGAAUCCCUGAUUGUAAGCAUAAGCUAGAAGUAUCAAUACCCUUCCAAGACACUCGUGAUAAUGUAUUUAUAUUCCUGGCAGGAAACUUGAGUCAGUUCAGCAAGUUUCUAGUGCAAAUCUGAUAUGGAUGGUUGACCUGAACUCCGGGGGACAAACAGAGAUAGAACAGGUGGACAGGGUUUCUGCAUGCAGAAAACUGGAUGCCAGAACUUGGAUAAUUAUCUUUCUGUCAGCAUAGCACCCAGCCUUGCAAGACGUGAUGUGGUCUCAAAUGCUGUUAGCGAAUCUGGGGGUCAAAAGAACUCAGGCCUUGCACAAUAGGCCUUGCUCUCCUCGUUAAAUAGAAGUACAAAAUUUGUGAGCGCA
Long non-coding RNA from Pseudopipra pipra, 779 nucleotides. RefSeq lists it as uncharacterized. The record is from RefSeq and is a predicted model, not a curated record. Lineage: Eukaryota; Metazoa; Chordata; Aves; Passeriformes; Pipridae. The transcript has 3 exons.